This 75-nucleotide transfer RNA is filed under the name candidate division WWE3 bacterium RAAC2_WWE3_1. RNAcentral's name for it is "tRNA-Lys (TTT) (tRNA-Lys-TTT-1-1)". It matches the Rfam family "tRNA". From Rfam's summary of the family: Transfer RNA (tRNA) molecules are approximately 80 nucleotides in length. Their secondary structure includes four short double-helical elements and three loops (D, anti-codon, and T loops). The record is from RNAcentral. RNAcentral also lists the same sequence under 10 other names. Lineage: Bacteria; candidate division WWE3.
GGGGGCGUAGCUCAGCGGUAGAGCAGCGGCCUUUUAAGCCGCGUGUCCUGGGUUCGAUCCCCAGCGCCCUCACCA